Molecule: ribosomal RNA, 439 nt
Filed under: uncultured bacterium
Lineage: Bacteria
Description: bacterial SSU rRNA
Rfam family: Bacterial small subunit ribosomal RNA
Source: RNAcentral
AACGAACGCUGGCGGCAUGCCUAACACAUGCAAGUCGAACGAGACCUUCGGGUCUAGUGGCGCACGGGUGCGUAACGCGUGGGAAUCUACCCUUGGGUUCGGAAUAACUCAGAGAAAUUUGAGCUAAUACCGGAUGAUGUCGAAAGACCAAAGAUUUAUCGCCCAAGGAUGAGCCCGCGUAGGAUUAGCUAGUUGGUGAGGUAAAGGCUCACCAAGGCAACGAUCCUUAGCUGGUCUCGAGAGGAUGAUCAGCCACACUGGGACUGAGACACGGCCCAGACUCCUACGGGAGGCAGCAGUGGGGAAUAUUGGACAAUGGGCGAAAGCCUGAUCCAGCAAUGCCGCGUGAGUGAUGAAGGCCUUAGGGUUGUAAAGCUCUUUUAGCAGGGAAGAAGCGAAAGUGACGGUACCUGCAGAAAAAGCGCCGGCUAACUACGUG